UGCCAGCAGCCGCGGUAAGACGGAGGAUCCAAGCGUUAUCCGGAAUCAUUGGGUUUAAAGGGUCCGCAGUCUGGUAAGUCAGAGGUGAAAUCCUGCAGCUCAACUGUAGCAUUGCCUUUGAUACUGCCAGACUUGAGUUAUUGUGAAGUAGUUAGAAUGUGUAGUGUAGCGGUGAAAUGCAUAGAUAUUACACAGAAUACCGAUUGCGAAAGCAGAUUACUAACAAUAUACUGACGCUGAGGGACGAAAGCGUGGGUAGCGAACAGGAUUAGAUA
RNAcentral lists this ribosomal RNA (275 nucleotides) under uncultured bacterium. RNAcentral's name for it is "partial 16S ribosomal RNA". It matches the Rfam family "Bacterial small subunit ribosomal RNA", at positions 506 to 784 of the family's 1533-position model. The record is from RNAcentral.